This 257-nucleotide unclassified non-coding RNA is filed under the name Hevea brasiliensis (rubber tree). The record is from RNAcentral. Lineage: Eukaryota; Viridiplantae; Streptophyta; Magnoliopsida; Malpighiales; Euphorbiaceae.
AGAUAGAACUCUAACAAAUAACUUUAUACUCUCAAAGUAAGGCAUUGUGCUAAUUAUUCUCUUUCUCAACUUUCUUCCCUAUCCAACUUGCAACAAUUGGAGUGAGGGCUACUGUUGGAGGAAACCUUAUUGGAGAAGCAGCUUUAUGUGCUGCAUACGCCAAAGCAAACGUUCCGACUUUCUCUCCAGUUUCAUCAAUUGAAAUUCCUACCUUCUGCAGAAGAGCUUGAACAUCGACACCAGCACUGAUGAGUGCG